UCAAAUACAAAAGAUAAAGAGUUGGAAGGAAUACAACCCUUGUUACAUGAGCUUUCUUCCUUGCCUUCUUCAUCCUCCAUCUUCUUCUUCAUCUAGCUAAUAACAAGAAUGGAUGAACUAUCCUACUCUAUACUAAGCUAAACUAACACUAGGAAGAUGAAAGAGCUACAUUUCUGCAGACUCCAAGCUUCUCCCGUAUAUCUCUCUAUCUCUUACUCUAUCAUCCCCUCUCUCCAUUUUGCAAUGAAUUUGGCUAUUUAAUGAUGAAAGGUUGGUCAAGAAAUGAUGUUUUCAACUCCCUUUUACAGCUGGGAAUGUUUCUCACAUGUCUAGCAUCACAUGUGAGUUGGUGGAGGUGAAAUUGAGUUUUACGCGUAUAAAGCAGCCUUUUCUGACCAGUGAUCCGAGCUUCUACAGUGCCUCGGAUCCGUAUGGAUCCGAGCUCGGUUCCACUAACCCAGAAACAGCCGAGGGUUCGGAUGAAUAGUGGAUCCGAGUGUGGAUCACUUGCUCUGUUUUUGGCCCAACUUCAACCGAUCUUUUGUUGAUGUUAGAGGCUGAACCAGCUCAUGCCUAAAACACGAAAGUUGUAGCCUUUUGAUUUAUCUUUCCAAUGCAUCAAGAAUCACCUCAUUUGGAUCUGUGUAGGCUGAGAUAUGACUGAAAUACCCUUGCCUGCUCCAUGCCUUGUUCCAGUUUCGACCAAUAGCAAUUGACUCUGUACUUCGGCUUUUUUGACCUGGAAAACCUUCAAACUGGAUUCGGAUGUCUUCACCAAAGUUGUAGAUCUAUCUCUUAUCUUCAAAUGGGUUCAAGAAUCAUCCCAAUCCGAUCAUUGUAGCUC
RNAcentral lists this long non-coding RNA (844 nucleotides) under Coffea arabica (coffee). RNAcentral describes it as "long non-coding RNA (CARA_LNC008148)". Lineage: Eukaryota; Viridiplantae; Streptophyta; Magnoliopsida; Gentianales; Rubiaceae. The record is from RNAcentral.